Molecule: ribosomal RNA, 114 nt
Filed under: Acanthosepion pharaonis
Lineage: Eukaryota; Metazoa; Mollusca; Cephalopoda; Sepiida; Sepiidae
Source: RNAcentral
UUACGGUCAAAUCACGCUGAAACACCGGUUCUCGUACGAUCACCGAAGUUAAGCAGCGUAGAGCCAGGUCCGUACUUAGAUGGGGGACCGCUUGGGAACACCUGGUACUGUAAG